This 1144-nucleotide non-coding RNA is filed under the name Pongo abelii (Sumatran orangutan). The record is from RNAcentral. Lineage: Eukaryota; Metazoa; Chordata; Mammalia; Primates; Hominidae.
UGGGCUCGCGCGGGACGUUCCGGAAUCCCAGGAAUGCAUCCCUUCCGGCCUGAGAGCCUGCCUGGCCCUGACUCCCGACCCGCUCCUCCUCCGAAGAGAGAUCGGGGCCGCUGACAGGGGCCCUCCGCAGCCACGGGGAUGGGAUGGGGAUCGGUUCCCGUCCCGGUGCAGCCGCCGCCGGCAGACCGCCUGGCUUGGCCGCAGCCAGGGCGACAUGUAGCCCGGUUCUGCCAGGCUGGGAGCGCCAGCCAUCUUGGAAGUUGCCAGGCAGCUGUCGCCAGCAGCAGCAGACCUGUGGAGAGGAAGAGUAAGGCGGGCUCUGCAGGGCAGUGGCCGGGACCAUAAGAGAGGCGGGUCAGUCUGGGCUCCAAGCUCAGCCUCUCGGAUUCCCCGGGACCCCACGGCUUAUAAUGCGCUUAAAUCCCACGCCUCGCCCGAGAGACAGCACUCACCGGUCACCGCCUAGCGCCCCCGACCCGCUCCCACUCUCGCGCAGCGGAGGGUGUGUGAGGGAGAGAGGGACGCAGGAGGGGAAAAGCGUUGAGAGGGCGAACAUCUUUCAUAAGUUUUUCCCCUUCUAUAUGCCAUCUCUGAUGGGAGCCUCUUUAGAUCUUUCGUCCAUUACUAAUUGGGUUGUUGAUUUCUUAUUGUUGAGUUGUAAGUGGUUUUUAAUGGUCUGGAUGCCAGACAGGGUUUUGCAAAUAUUUUCUCCGUCUGUGGCUUGUUUCUCCAUUCUCUAAUAUUUCCUUUCCCAGAGCAAAAGUUUUUAAUUGUAACGACUUCAUACCAUAUCUUCUUUUCAUGGUAGAAAUUUGUCUUUUGUGUACUUUAGUGUUGUAUCUACAAAGUAAUUGCCAAACCCAAAGUUACCUAAAUAUCCCUUUUGUUAUUUUACAGAAGUUUUACAGCUUUUGGAUUUAAAUUAGGUCUAAAAAAUUGAACUCAUAAAAGUAGAGAGUAUAAUGUGCUUACCAGAGGCUGUGUUGCGGGAGAAAAAUGGGAAGUUGUUCACAGGUGCAAAGAUUCAGUUCAACAUGAGAAAUGCGUUUUGAAAUCUAUUGCACAGCAGGAUGACUAUAGUCAAUAAUAAUGUACUGUAAUUUCAAUAACAAAAAGUAAAUUUCAAAUAUCUAACCACAAAAAA